This 92-nucleotide transfer RNA is filed under the name Naumovozyma dairenensis CBS 421. It matches the Rfam family "tRNA". From Rfam's summary of the family: Transfer RNA (tRNA) molecules are approximately 80 nucleotides in length. Their secondary structure includes four short double-helical elements and three loops (D, anti-codon, and T loops). Further hydrogen bonds mediate the characteristic L-shaped molecular structure. tRNAs have two regions of fundamental functional importance: the anti-codon, which is responsible for specific mRNA codon recognition, and the 3' end, to which the tRNAs corresponding amino acid is attached (by aminoacyl-tRNA synthetases). tRNAs cope with the degeneracy of the genetic code in two manners: having more than one tRNA (with a specific anti-codon) for a particular amino acid; and 'wobble' base-pairing, i.e. permitting non-standard base-pairing at the 3rd anti-codon position. The record is from Rfam by way of RNAcentral. Lineage: Eukaryota; Fungi; Ascomycota; Saccharomycetes; Saccharomycetales; Saccharomycetaceae.
GGGCGUGUGGUCUAGUGGUAUGAUACCCGCUUUAGGGAAAAAAAAAUCUCAAAAUAUGCGGGUGGCCCGGGGUUCAAUUCCCCGCUCGCCCC